Molecule: long non-coding RNA, 673 nt
Organism: Frieseomelitta varia
Lineage: Eukaryota; Metazoa; Arthropoda; Insecta; Hymenoptera; Apidae
Exons: 4
Source: RefSeq, a predicted model, not a curated record
CGGUUUUGUGUUGGAGAAAGAAAGAGAAAAGGAUAGGAGAGAUCGUUUCGGAAAGCCGGCUGAAAUUUAUAUCUCGCAUCCGAGAGCUGCCAGGUGUAUUUACUUGUUUCUCGCCACUUAGAGUAGAGUACAAAUAUUUUUGGAGGGAAAUUUUUCGCGAAUUGUCGCGUUUCGAUUAGCAACGAACGUUUAUGUAACUAGGAGAAGGAAACAACGACUAGGGUUACGGGGACGGAACGAUUUCUUUCGCGGUGUACACGCACGUCCGUUGAGGAGACGAAAGUUCAAAAAGAAAAGGAAAAAAAGAAAAAAAAGAAGGGAAAACAACGGGGAAAAAUCGUCCGCGAAAAGUCCGUUUUCGUCCGAGUGAAAUCAGCGUAGCCUGAUCUGUGGCUAACUGUUUUACUUCUUUUUCUAUUUGUGGCUAUAAUAUACGUAUACGUAUUUCUUUUUGCUUCUUUUUUUACAUUUCACACACGUCUGGAGCCAAAGAAAAGUCAACAGACACACUUGCAGAUACUUUAGAUCGAGCUUCGCGUGUUUUUUGCGCGGAACUGUGUGUGAACAGAAACCCCACCCCUCCCCGUGAAAUCCUUGAAAGAACUCGCGACGACGAUGCGUGAUAUCACGAUCAGGUGUACACAAGUCUGAUGAAAAGAUCAGAAAAAAUAAA